Molecule: ribosomal RNA, 366 nt
Filed under: Verrucomicrobiota bacterium
Lineage: Bacteria; Pseudomonadati; Verrucomicrobiota
Description: bacterial SSU rRNA
Rfam family: Bacterial small subunit ribosomal RNA
Source: RNAcentral
UUUACGGAGAGUUUGAUUCUGGCUCAGAACGAACGCUGGCGGCGUGGAUAAGACAUGCAAGUCGAACGGAGUUACUUUUGUAGCAAUACAAAAGUAAUUCAGUGGCGAACGGGUGCGUAACACGUGGGCAAUCUGCCGAGAAGUGGGGGAUAGCUCGCCGAAAGGCGAAUUAAUACCGCAUAUGAUCAGCUAAGACAUCUUAGCGACAUCAAAGCCGGGGUAACCUGGCGCUUCUUGAUGAGCCCGCGGCCUAUCAGCUAGUUGGUGAGGUAACGGCUCACCAAGGCUUUGACGGGUAGCUGGUCUGAGAGGACGACCAGUCACACUGGAACUGAGACACGGUCCAGACACCUACGGGUGGCAGCA